ACACCGAUUUUUGAAAACCUAUUUUAGGCGGGAUUGGAAAAUAGAUUACCGGUGCGAAAAUUUUAUUUUUCGAACCGGUUCUAACCGAACCGGUGCGAAGCUAUAGCUAAAUAAAAAAAAAACCUGGUCUGCCUCUAAAUAUCUACUCUUACUUUCUCUUUCUGUCUUCUUUCUUUCUGUUUCCUCCAUCUCUUUCCCUUUCCUUUACUCUCUCCUUCGAUCUCCUUCUCCACCGGCGCCCACCUUCCCCCUCUUCUGGUAUUCAGGUAUUUCUCGCUUUCUCUUUCUAGAUCAAUCGUUUUUGGAGUGAGUGUUUUCGGAUUUUUGAAUUUUCUAGGUGGGUGUUUUCGGUUGAGUGUUGAGUAUUUCAGGGUGGUUGGAGUGAGUUUCGGUGGUUAAGGUUUAGUUUCAAGUAGACGACGCCUUCUAAUCCGUGUAUCCCUCAUUGAAGAGGCAGCUUCUGAGUAAGCAAGGAGUUGAAGGAAAGCAAAAUUACACUACAAUGGGCUUUAUUGCAGAAUUCAAACCUGCCAAAAUGAUUCCCAUGCCAAAGUGCAGUUCGCUUCAUAACGUGACAGAAGUUUAUGAACAAGUGCAGCACUUUGGGCAGAUUGUAUAGGCUCCAUACAUUGAAGAGCAUGAGUUCUAUCAGGACAGAAACAAUUGAAUUGACUAUUAGGCUCAUCAAACUCACACUGCCCUCCAGAUUUUAAGUAGACAGUACAAUUAUAAGCUUUCCAAUUCAACAAAAUUCCCCUUUCAAGCAUAUCCAUAACUUUGCCUUUAGUCUGAUCCUCAUCAUAAUAAGGCACUUCAAUUAUAAGCUUUCCAGUUCAACAAAACUCCCCUUUCAACUCCAUUACACUUUUUCUCCAAAUCCUGCAAUUUUGAGUCAUUCUUAUACACUGCCAACCCCCCACAUUUCACUCUCUUAUCCCUGUAUUCUUUCAAAACCUUCUCUAGACAAUCAGGAAACACAUCUUGAAGGUGUAAAGAAUGGAAACAACCCUCGGAGCACCAGCAACAAGAGCUGAAGGUAUAAAGAAUGGAAACAACCCUUGGAGCACCAGCAACAAGAGCUACAAUUUUAAAAAUUGCAGUGGGUAGGAAAUUUCCAGCUAGUCAAGUGGGAGAAAAGGAACUCAAGGCGUUUCGAGAGCAGGAAAAUAGAGAGAUGAAUAAAAUUCUGGAUGAUUAUCUACAAAUUUGUGCCAUAGUUGGGGCACAUGCCGAGAAACUACAUAUUGAAAGGGACUCCAUAGACGAGGGAAUUGUGGAAAUCAUAUCUCAACAAAAGAUAGGGAGACUCGUCAUGGGUGCAGCAGCAGAUAGUAGAUAUUCAAGGUGUCCAUAAUGGAUUUUGUUGUGCAAAACCCUAAUGAUUUUUAUAGGGCUCAUAGACCCCAAUUGUGAAUGUUUGAUGUUUAGAUUUGACUAAUUUCUAGGUCAUAUACUUUGAGACAAGUCAUACAUCAAUAAAAACCUCAAAGAAUGAGAUUUUCCUGUGUUAUUGUCUUGAAGGAAAAUGGUGGAGCCUAAAUCAAAAAAGGCCAACUAUGUGCGUCAACAUGCGCCUGAUUUCUGUCACAUCAGAUUUAUAUGCAAAGGCCGUUUAAUAUGUACGAGGUAUGCUUUCCAUUUUUUCUUAAUCUCUUUCUGAGAAACCAACUGUACUUAGAAGCAAGCUCCUAAAGUAUCUCUUUCAACAUUUCAUUAUUACUUUUUUAAAUGUGAUUAUGAAGCUCCCUCAAUGAGCUUUUAAAAAAUACGUAUGGUAUCACAUGCUACUGAUCUUUCUUGAUCCGAAUAUGAUUUUAUCAAAUUUUGAUACCUUUGCUUGAUCUGAAAGCUCCUCGAUUCAGUUAUCUGUUUGAGCUAAUAGAUAUUAUAAUAAAGUCUUCUUAUUACUCCAAUUGGAAGAUAUGUUAUUAUUUUGAUUCAAUUAUGAGUGAGUUAUGGUGUUUAACAUUCAAUGUGCUCAAAUAAUGGUGUUUUACUAAUAUAAUACUACAUCCAAUUAGUAGUGUAGAUUGUGUUCCAUUUCAAAGUGGUUAUUUUAGCAAGAUGUGUACAAAAAAAUUUUACUGGUCUUUCACAGCUAGCUGCUAUUCUGCCUUUGGCAGUUGUACAUACCCUGAGCAAGCUCUUCACCAACAUGAGUUUGGGUAAAGUGGUAGUAUCAUUUACUCACACAAUCAAAGCUAUGGAGCCAUUUUUCUCUGUUUUACUGUCUGCUGCAUUUUUGGGAGAGAAUCCCACUCCUUGGGUAGUGCUUUUACUUCUUCCCAUUGUUGGAGGGUGGCUCUUGCAUAAGUGACUGAAGCCUUUUUUAACUGGCUUUUUUUUGGAGUGAUAUGGCUUCUAAUGUGACAAACCAAUCCCGUUAUGUCCUUAGCAAGAAGGUCAUGGUACAGAAAGAGAAAUCAAUGGACAAUAUUACACUCUUCUCCAUAAAAACAGUUAUGUCCUUUAUACUAUUAGCCCAUGCGACUAUUUUCAUGGAAGGUGUCAAAUUUACUUCUACAUAUAUAGAAGCUAUUCCAGCAGUAUAAACCAGCAAUGGCAGCAGCAGGGAACAGCAGCAGCACACAACCAGCAAGCCAUAACCAAAGCAGCAACAACAGUACAGCAGCAGCACCACUAGAGAAAAACAAACAGUAGCUAGCAACCCACCCAGCACCCCACAUCAACUCAUCCAUCACCAAGAAGGCAUUUAUAAACAAAUUAAAGAGUAAUUUCAUAUACAGAAUUUUAUUUUAUUUUUUUAGACGAAAAUUGUAAUAUU
This is a long non-coding RNA of Chenopodium quinoa (quinoa), 2785 nucleotides long. RefSeq lists it as uncharacterized. Lineage: Eukaryota; Viridiplantae; Streptophyta; Magnoliopsida; Caryophyllales; Amaranthaceae. The transcript is spliced from 8 exons. The record is from RefSeq and is a predicted model, not a curated record.